This 410-nucleotide ribosomal RNA is filed under the name uncultured bacterium. RNAcentral describes it as "bacterial SSU rRNA". It matches the Rfam family "Bacterial small subunit ribosomal RNA", at positions 355 to 774 of the family's 1533-position model. The record is from RNAcentral.
UCGAGAAUCUUCGGCAAUGGGCGCAAGCCUGACCGAGCGACGCCGCGUGGAGGACGAAGGCCUUCGGGUUGUAAACUCCUGUCGAGGGGGAGGAAGGGGAAACCUUGACCGAUCCCUGGAGGAAGCACGGGCUAAGUUCGUGCCAGCAGCCGCGGUAAGACGAACCGUGCGAACGUUAUUCGGAAUCACUGGGCUUAAAGCGCGUGUAGGCGGGCCGGCACGUCGGUACCUGAAAGCCCCCGGCUCAACCGGGGAACUGGGGCCGAUACGACCGGCCUGGAGGGGCGUAGGGGGACCUGGAACUUCCGGUGGAGCGGUGAAAUGCGUUGAGAUCGGAAGGAACGCCCGUGGCGAAAGCGAGGUCCUGGACGCCUGCUGACGCUGAGACGCGAAAGCCAGGGUAGCGAACG